This is a long non-coding RNA of Rhinichthys klamathensis goyatoka, 962 nucleotides long. RefSeq lists it as uncharacterized. The record is from RefSeq and is a predicted model, not a curated record. NCBI's taxonomy places the organism in Eukaryota, Metazoa, Chordata, Actinopteri, Cypriniformes, Leuciscidae. The transcript has 2 exons.
GAUUAGUUCACUUUUAAAAAAACUUUUGCUGAUAAUUUACUCACCCCCAUGUCAUCCAAGAUGUCCAUGUCUUUCUUUCUUCAGUCGAAAAGAAAUUAAGGUUUUUGAUGAAAACAUUCCAGGAUUUUUCUCCAUAUAAUUCACUUUGCUGGGCACCAAACGGUUCAAGGUCCAAAAGACAGUUUCAGUGCAAACUGCAAACUGUUCAAAGGGCUUUAAACGACACCAGACGAUGAAUAAGGGUCUUAUCAAGCGAAACGAUCGGUCAUUUAAAAAAAAAAAAAAAAAAAGUUUAAUAAUGUCAAAUGCUCGCCUUGCUCUGUUCUGUGAUGCUCGUUCGUGACUCUCCUGUUCGAACUCGUUCAUCAAAGUGAACAAAUCUUUUUUCGAGUCAUUUGGUUCAUUUAACGAACGAAAUGAACGAAUUGACUCGGAAAAAGAUUCCUUCAUUUUGAUGAACGAGUUCGAACAGGAGAGUCACACAGAACAGAGCAAGGCGAGCAUUUGAGCUUAUAAAACUUAAACUUUGUAAUUCCUUUUUUAAAUGAGCGAUCGUUUCGCUUGAUAAGACCCUUAUUCAUCGUCUGGUGUCGUUUAAAGCCAUUUGAACAGUUUGCACUGAAACUGUCUUUUGGACCUUGAACCGUUUGGUGCCCAGCAAAGUGCAUUAUAUGGAGAAAAAUCCUGGAAUGUUUUCAUCAAAAACCUUAAUUUCUUUUCGACUGAAGAAAGACAUGGACAUCUUGGAUGACAUGGGGCCUCGUGAGACCAUCCUGAUCUCGCGAGCUUUCAAGGUUUCACUCGCAGAUCAGUCUGGAUACUUUCCGUUAAAGAAAAUUUGGGAGCAGUUCACCAAACGAACGUCCAAUCAGCGUUGGCUUUGAGGCGGGUUGAGGUGUGACGCAACGAGAAGCGCGACAGUUCAGUCUAAAGAACAUGGCGGCUUCAGCGGAUGAAACUAG